Molecule: transfer RNA, 72 nt
Filed under: Bos taurus (domestic cattle)
Lineage: Eukaryota; Metazoa; Chordata; Mammalia; Artiodactyla; Bovidae
Also listed under: 4 other names
Rfam family: tRNA
About the family: Transfer RNA (tRNA) molecules are approximately 80 nucleotides in length. Their secondary structure includes four short double-helical elements and three loops (D, anti-codon, and T loops).
Source: Rfam by way of RNAcentral
UCCCUGGUGGCUCAGACGGUAAAGCGUCUGACUCCAAUGCAGGAGACCCAGGUUCAAUCCUGGGUCAGGAAG